AUAUAAGCAAAAAUUUCACUUUUUAGAUACAUUCAAUUAAUGAUGUAUGUGGUCUUUAUUAUAUGUCACAUACAUCAUUAAUUGAAUGUAUCUAAAAAGUAGAUUUUUGCUUAUAU
Molecule: microRNA precursor, 116 nt
Organism: Medicago truncatula (barrel medic)
Lineage: Eukaryota; Viridiplantae; Streptophyta; Magnoliopsida; Fabales; Fabaceae
Rfam family: MIR2593 microRNA precursor family
Source: Rfam